This 22-nucleotide non-coding RNA is filed under the name Arabidopsis thaliana (thale cress). The record is from RNAcentral. Lineage: Eukaryota; Viridiplantae; Streptophyta; Magnoliopsida; Brassicales; Brassicaceae.
CUGAUCGCCGGUGAAAUCACGC